RNAcentral lists this ribosomal RNA (254 nucleotides) under uncultured bacterium. Its description in RNAcentral is "partial 16S ribosomal RNA". It matches the Rfam family "Bacterial small subunit ribosomal RNA", at positions 524 to 776 of the family's 1533-position model. The record is from RNAcentral.
UACGGAGGAUCCGAGCGUUAUCCGGAUUUAUUGGGUUUAAAGGGAGCGUAGGUGGAUUGUUAAGUCAGUUGUGAAAGUCUGCGGCUCAACCGUAAGAUUGCAGUUGAAACUGGCAGUCUUGAGUACAGUAGAGGUGGGCGGAAUUCGUGGUGUAGCGGUGAAAUGCUUAGAUAUCACGAAGAACUCCGAUUGCGAAGGCAGCUCACUGGACUGUUGACUGACACUGAGGCUCGAAAGUGUGGGUAUCAAACAGG